This 431-nucleotide ribosomal RNA is filed under the name uncultured bacterium. RNAcentral's name for it is "partial 16S ribosomal RNA". It matches the Rfam family "Bacterial small subunit ribosomal RNA", at positions 29 to 507 of the family's 1533-position model. The record is from RNAcentral.
AACGAACGCUGGCGGCAGGCUUAACACAUGCAAGUCGAACGCCCCGCAAGGGGAGUGGCAGACGGGUGAGUAACGCGUGGGAACAGACCCAUUUCUACGGAAUAGCUCUGGGAAACUGGAAUUAAUACCGAAUACGCCCUACGGGGGAAAGAUUUAUCGGGGAAGGAUUGGCCCGCGUUGGAUUAGCUAGUUGGUGGGGUAAAGGCCUACCAAGGCGACGAUCCAUAGCUGGUCUGAGAGGAUGAUCAGCCACAUUGGGACUGAGACACGGCCCAAACUCCUACGGGAGGCAGCAGUGGGGAAUAUUGGACAAUGGGCGCAAGCCUGAUCCCGCCAUGCCGCGUGAGUGAUGAAGGCCUUAGGGUUGUAAAGCUCUUUCACCGAUGAAGAUAAUGACGGUAGUCGGAGAAGAAGCCCCGGCUAACUUCGUG